UUUCCCCAGCCGCCCCACACACAAACACUCAGACCCUAAACCAUACACACACGAAACGGAAAGAAGGAGAAGGAAGGAGAGGGGGAAAAGGGGAGACGGCGGCGGUGGAUGUCACUGCCACCGUCGCCGCCGUCUUAUCGCUGUCGGGAGAGUAAUAACGUGAGGGGAGAGAGAGACGAGCUCGCGAGGGAGUAGCGUCGCCGCCACUGGAGGGGAGCCUGGCUGUCCUCGUCACUGCCAGCUCCGUCGCCGUCGUCACCAUUGGAGCUGCGCGAAGCCGUCGUCGCCGUUGUCACCAUCGAUGCUUCUCGUUGUCGUUUGUGGGUUGUCGCCUCUUCUGCUUCUGCUGUCACGCUGUCGUCUGCCCCUCUGGACAUCGCUGCUUUUGAAUCGUGUCCUGUCACUCGGAUAUGCUGCAAGAAGCUAUCAGAAAGUGGCAUUGAUGAGAAGAAGCACAAACCCUCCACCAGCAAUACCGCUGCCUCUAAAUCCAAGGACGGAAUGGAAGAUUACAAUUUUGCUAUGAAGAGGAUGAUGAGGAAUCCUUAUGAGUAUCACCACGAUCUGGGUUUGAAUUACACACUUAUAACUGACAAUCUCAUUGUGGGAUCCCAACCACAGAAACCUGAAGACAUCGAUCACCUCAAGAAGGAAGAGGGGGUGACAUACAUUCUGAAUUUGCAGCAAGAUAAGGAUGUAGAAUAUUGGGGAAGCCUGCAUUUCAGUCAAUUUUGUUGAGAAAAUAGACUCCCACUCUGAAUUUUAUGAAAAUCAAGAGUGGUUCCUCCACUGAGUUUCUCAAUCAUUUGCAAAAUUGCCCUGCUUGGGGUCAUAGGAUGUUCAUCACAGAUGCUGGGCUAUGCUGGAAUUAGUUACAGUAAUCCCACUUUCCUCAGCUAUCAGUAACCUCAUUCCUGCUUUCACCGUCAUACUUGUUAUCAUUUGCAGGCAAUAUAGACUUUGAUCCAAACUCCUUGCAAAAUAUUCUACCUAAAGCAGUCUUAUCAUUGGAAUGGACAAUCUCAGAGGAAAAAGGAAGAGUUUCUGUGCAUUGUACUGCUGGACUUGGGAGAACACCAGGGGUGGCAAUAGCUUAUUUGUUCUGUUUCUAUGACAUGAAUAAUUCCCUCCGGGAUUGCCGACACGAAGUCUCAAGACGGUGUGAACUCGAAUGUUGGGAUCACUUGCAUGAAGUUUAAAGAAGGCACGAAUUAAGGAAACUUGAGAACAAAAUUGUCUAGUUUCAUAACAAUCUCUCAACAGUUACCAACCUCUAUUGUAUAAUUUUAGCUGGUUAUUGAAUGCCAUUCACAUGCUGCUUGUCACUCGUGGUGACGUGUGAAGAUAUUUUUCUAAAGUGCCAAGGACAAAAAUAUCUUAAAUCGGUCUUCAUUUGUAUCUAGUAGUUUUUAGCCUUUAUCUUUCUACAAGUACUAAUCUCAUGCCGUAGUAUUCCCCCGAAAUCACUCCCAUCAAGUUACAAGGUGAUGAAAGUCAAGGAAAUGAAGGGGUGAAGCAUUUAUGCCUCAGUCAUAGCAUACUAUGCAUUUUAAAAUAAGAAUAAUUCAAUUUUUGUCUGUAGUGUUUUCUGCUGUUUAUCCCAUGUUUAUCCUUUUGGGGAAACAUGAUAGUUUAAGUUAAAUCUGGAAUCACAAAUUGGAUGAAACAUAUCACAUGGGACCUUGGGCAUGGGCCAAAACCUGGAAAAACGUAGCACUUGCAAACUUUUUUUUUUGUCAGAUGGAUUGAACAAAUCCAAACACUCUUCACAUUUAAUAUCACGGUACGGGUUUUUCUUUGAGAUCACUCUCAUAAAAUUAAGGCGGUGACUGACGAUACUUCUGAGAUCACUCGCAUAAAGUUAAGGUGGCACUCAUAAAGUUAAGGCGGCGACUGGGGAUACUUCCGAGAUCACUCGCAUAAAGUUAAGGUGGCACUCUCAUAAAGUUAAGGCGGCGACUGGGGAUACUUCCGAGAUCACUCGCAUAAAGUUAAAGUAGCGACGGCCGAUAAUCAACUUGUCGAAUAAGAAAAAAGGUGACAUAUGGGCACAAAAAUAUUAGAGCCUCAGAAUUAUUCUUCAAAGGUUAGUGACUUGCCUCACUCUUCACUUGGACUAAGGUUCUAGACUACCUUCUGUUUGGUAUUUUGGUUUCUAGAAGACCACAUUUAAGAGACCUCAUCUUGUUAUCUCUA
Arachis stenosperma is the source of this 2196-nucleotide long non-coding RNA. RefSeq lists it as uncharacterized. Lineage: Eukaryota; Viridiplantae; Streptophyta; Magnoliopsida; Fabales; Fabaceae. The transcript has 6 exons. The record is from RefSeq and is a predicted model, not a curated record.